Molecule: ribosomal RNA, 420 nt
Filed under: uncultured bacterium
Lineage: Bacteria
Description: partial 16S ribosomal RNA
Rfam family: Bacterial small subunit ribosomal RNA
Source: RNAcentral
AUAUUGGACAAUGGGGGCAACCCUGAUCCAGCCAUGCCGCGUGUGUGAAGAAGGUCGUCGGAUUGUCAGGCACUUUAAGUUGGGAGGAAGGGCAGUAAGUUAAUACCUUGCUGUUUUGACGUUACCGUCAGAAUAAGCACCGGCUAACUUCGUUCCAGCAGCCGCGGUAAUACGAAGGGUGCAAGCGUUAAUCGGAAUUACUGGGCGUAAAGCGCGCGUAGGUGGUUUGUUAAGUAGGAAGUGAAAGACACGGGCUCAACCAGGGAACGACUUUCAACACUAGCAAGCUAGAGUAUGGGAGAGGGUGGUGGAAUUUCCUGUGUAGCGGUGAAAUGCGUAGAUAUAGGAAGGAACACCAGUGGCGAAGGCGACUACCUGGACUGAUACUGACACUGAGGAGCGAAAGCGUGGGGAGCAAAC